Long non-coding RNA from Rosa rugosa (rugosa rose), 1618 nucleotides. RefSeq lists it as uncharacterized. The record is from RefSeq and is a predicted model, not a curated record. NCBI's taxonomy places the organism in Eukaryota, Viridiplantae, Streptophyta, Magnoliopsida, Rosales, Rosaceae. The transcript is spliced from 3 exons.
CCAGAUCAUAUUGAUCUAGAAGACGCGAGAGAAGCUCGAAGCUUCUGACCCUAAAACGCGUCGCCGACCCGACGAAGAAACCUGACCAGAACGCCGUCCUCCGGCCACAACACAGCGGCGGACCACCGGCAAUAGAUUCAUCUUGUCGUCGUCGUCACACCUGUGGCCUCUAAUCGUCCAUGCAAUUGACGAGGCAGAAGAAUCGACAGUGAGAAGAUCCGAGCUUUCUCCGGCGAGUUCUGCAAUUUCCGGCGACUCCGGCCACCUUCUGGGCUGCGUUUGGUAUGAAGUCUCAUCUCCUCGUCAUACUCUACAAGCCUGUACAAUUAGAUUUUGAAUUUGAUCGAGUUUUUGACAAUUUCGUUUCUGGGUUCCUCUCUGCUUCGAUGCCGUCACCGACGCCGGCGACUUCCCCGGCCUUUCUGGCUUCGUCUCCUCUUCGAUUUCAGGUCUAGAUGAGAUGGUGUGAAGUUUUCUGGGUUGUAGUUCGAGGAAAUCACUAGUUCACAACCAUUCUAGCUUCGGUAUUGAGCUCGGGAAGCUGAGUUUGGGUCGAUUCAAGGGAUUGCCGAUGUCGAAGGACUCCAGCUAUCCGAGGAACGGAAGGUUCGUGAUCUCUAAACAACGUGUAAUGGUAAAGCUUCGGAAUCCAGGUAGGGGACUCGGGACUCUCUAUUGGCUAGUGGUUUUCCAUAUUUGUUUAUAUACGUGGUGCAUGAUGAAAGUACAUUGUUAGUUCAAAUUUAAAAUGUUUUUAAGUUAACGUGCGUAUAAGAUUGUUGAUGGCGGUGUGUGAGAGCGGAAAGGUGGUCGAUGACUUCCUUGGGGAUUAGCCACCCCUAAACCUCCGGAGGGUUAGCUACACCGGUCGGACGGUGCGCAAUCGCAAUGAUGACACGGUUCCGUGUGUGUAGCUAGUGUGUUAAGUUUGGCGCUCUGUGACUGGUAAGGUCAGAUGUUGGUUCUACGGAACCAGGCCAUCAGGUAAAGCGCACGUAGUUUUCUAAUCAUGCAUCGAGUAUUUAAGUUUGUCGUUCUUAUAUAUAUAUUUGCUUUGUUUUCACACUGGGCCCAAAUCCAAAUGAUUACAAAGUUGAGUUGAUUUUCAAACCUAGUCGUGGUAGAGUUUCCUGCCGAGCAGCGAGGACGAAAGCUCACCCCUACAACAGUUUGGAUGCAGAUACUGUGCACUGGUGACGGGACAAAAGCGGACGGAGCUGGGUGUGCGGAAUAAGUCCGACCUGCUUGUUGCUCCCUUAGCCCAAAAUGAGGGUUGCUGUUCCAGACUUCUGCUGGCAGUAACAGUGGUAAUGGCAGCCUCCUCUCCUCCUCCUCGUCCAUCCCUACCCAAAACCAAGCCGACUCCGACUUUUACAACUCUUCUCUCAAACAAGACUCGAACAAAAAAUGCAAUUGCAUUUUGAUGCAUUGUAUUUGAGUAAUCUAUUCAUGUUAGGCAAUCUCUAACCCAAAUGGCUAAAAAUAGCCAUAAAUUCUGUACUAUUCAUUGAUCUGAUAUCAACUGUCUCCAACCCGUCAAGGCUAAAUUAUGGCCCUAAAAUAUAUUUUAACAUUUUGGAUUGGUUAUAUAUACAGAUCCUAUCCAGAGCGGAGAUCC